CCUACGGGGGGCAGCAGUGAGGAAUAUUGGUCAAUGGGCGUAAGCCUGAACCAGCCAAGUCGCGUGAGGGAUGAAGGUUCUAUGGAUCGUAAACCUCUUUUAUAAGGGAAUAAAGUGCGGGACGUGUCCCGUUUUGUAUGUACCUUAUGAAUAAGGAUCGGCUAACUCCGUGCCAGCAGCCGCGGUAAUACGGAGGAUCCGAGCGUUAUCCGGAUUUAUUGGGUUUAAAGGGUGCGUAGGCGGCCUUUUAAGUCAGCGGUGAAAGUUUGUGGCUCAACCAUAGAAUUGCCGUGGAAACUGGGAGUCUUGAGUAUGUUUGAGGCAGGCGGAAUGCGUGGUGUAGCGGUGAAAUGCUUAGAUAGCACGCAGAACCCAGAUUGCGAAGGCAGCAUGCC
Molecule: ribosomal RNA, 395 nt
Filed under: uncultured bacterium
Lineage: Bacteria
Description: partial 16S ribosomal RNA
Rfam family: Bacterial small subunit ribosomal RNA
Source: RNAcentral